UGGGGAAUCUUGCACAAUGGGCGAAAGCCUGAUGCAGCAACGCCGCGUGCGGGAAGAAGGCCCUCGGGUUGUAAACCGCUUUCAGAAGGAACGAAACUGACGGUACUUUCAGAAGAAGGUGCGGCCAACUACGUGCCAGCAGCCGCGGUGACACGUAGGCACCAAGCGUUGUCCGGAUUUAUUGGGCGUAAAGAGCUCGUAGGCGGUUCAGUAAGUCGGGUGUCCCGAAAACUUUGGGCUUAACCCAAAGCGUGCAUCCGAUACUGCUGUGACUUGAGUACGGUAGGGGAGCGGGGAAUUCCUAGUGUAGCGGUGAAAUGCGCAGAUAUUAGGAGGAACACCGGUGGCGAAGGCGCCGCUCUGGGCCGAAACUGACGCUGAGGAGCGAAAGCAUGGGUAGCAAA
RNAcentral lists this ribosomal RNA (404 nucleotides) under uncultured bacterium. Its description in RNAcentral is "bacterial SSU rRNA". It matches the Rfam family "Bacterial small subunit ribosomal RNA", at positions 355 to 772 of the family's 1533-position model. The record is from RNAcentral.